This 424-nucleotide ribosomal RNA is filed under the name Verrucomicrobiota bacterium. Its description in RNAcentral is "Verrucomicrobia bacterium partial 16S ribosomal RNA". It matches the Rfam family "Bacterial small subunit ribosomal RNA", at positions 355 to 776 of the family's 1533-position model. Lineage: Bacteria; Pseudomonadati; Verrucomicrobiota. The record is from RNAcentral.
UGAGGAAUAUUGGUCAAUGGGUGAGAGCCUGAACCAGCCAAGUAGCGUGCAGGAUGACGGCCCUAUGGGUUGUAAACUGCUUUUAUGCGGGGAUAAAGGAGUCCACGUGUAGAUUUUUGCAGGUACCACAUGAAUAAGGACCGGCUAAUUCCGUGCCAGCAGCCGCGGUAAUACGGAAGGUCCGGGCGUUAUCCGGAUUUAUUGGGUUUAAAGGGAGCGUAGGCCGCGUUUUAAGCGUGUUGUGAAAUGUAGACGCCCAACGUCUGCAUCGCAGCGCGAACUGGGACGCUUGAGUACGCGCAACGUUGGCGGAAUUCGUCGUGUAGCGGUGAAAUGCUUAGAUAUGACGAGGAACUCCGAUUGCGAAGGCAGCUGACGGGAGCGGCACUGACGCUUAAGCUCGAAGGUGCGGGUAUCAAACAGG